This 3701-nucleotide long non-coding RNA is filed under the name Homo sapiens (human). RNAcentral describes it as "HSALNT0261445". The record is from RNAcentral. Lineage: Eukaryota; Metazoa; Chordata; Mammalia; Primates; Hominidae.
CUGCAGGUGCCCUCCACCACGCCCAGCUAAUUUUUGUAUUUUUAGUAGAGACAGAGUUUCAGCAUGUUGGCCAGGCUGGUCUCGAACUCCUGACCUCAAGUGACCGGCCUGCCUCGCCCUCCCAAAGUGCUGGGAUUACAGAUAUCCAGCUCACUCUCCUCACCACACUUGUGCUCAUGUUGUUCCCUCGGCCUCAAAUGCACCAACAGACAUGUAAUAGGCACCCCUUAUAUGCCAAGCAUGAUGUCAGGAGCUGGGAAUACAGGGUGAAUCAGCUAAGCCCUGCUUCCAAGAGCGGCAUGCUGUUAAAGGGGAAAGACGCUUAUGUGCUCCCAGGACAAGGGGAUGGAAGCCAGCGAGAAGCAGAGUGAAGUCCUGAAGCUGAGCGUUGUAAUGUCUCGGUAGACCUGUGGGAAAGCUGGCUGCAGCCUCAGGAUGGAGGUCUGGAAGACAGAAGGUACACAAGGGGCCCCUCUCCAUCCACUCACCAGGGCUUGUUGCUUCUGGGCUUCCUCCUGCCAGAGGCUCCAGAUCUUCACUGCCAUCUGGGUGGGAGGUCAGGUUGGGUCUUGGGGGGUCUGCAGGGAGAGAAAAGCAUUGUCACCCAACCAGGACAUGGAGGACCAUCCAGACACUCAGUGAGAACCUCCUGGCUCUCCUGACUUUUCUAUGCUUUAUCCUGCACGUGGCUCCUGUGUGUGGACGAGGUGCUGCACUGGGCGACUCUGGGGAUGCCUGUCCUGUAGGGUUCCCAGUCCAGUGAUGGAGAGGGAGCCAAACAAUCACAAUCCAGGGUGAUCAAAGCUGUGACAGCUGGGGCUGGGGAUACAAAGGACUUGUGACAGCUCUUUAAUGGGCAGGAUCUGCCAGGUGGAGAGGCACGUACUUCCUUAGCCAUUCAUGAUUUAUUCACUGACCCAUGGGCCACACAUUGCCUGAGGCCUCCAUGGGCCAGGGACAGAAAAUGUCAGGGUCCCAGAGCCCAAGCAGUCCUGAGCCAUACCCUCCACAAGCUUCCCCAAGGAAGGGAACAGAGUCACCAUCCAGGAGGGAUACAGGCCACAGCGGAGAAAACGCCACUGCUGUCUUUGAAGACUGAGAAGCCAUGAGUCAAGCAAUACAGGUGACCUCCAGAAGCUGGCAACGGGCCAGGAAGGACUAUCUACGUGCUGGAGCCUCCAGAAGGAACAUGGUGGCCCUGCCAACACCUCGCCUCCAGCCCAGCCACAUGCAUUUGGAACUCCUGGCCUCCAGGACUGUAACAUAAUAAAAGUGUGCUGGUGGAAGCCACUGUGUUUGUGGUAUGUGUAACAGCAGCAAUAGGAAACGGAUACACUACUCAUACAUUCACACAAAUGGGUGAAGGGGCAGUCGAGGUAAACACACUUCUUACUGUGGGCUGUAGUUUAAAAAUUCAAAAAGACACUGAGGUAGGACCUCCCACGAGAUGCUUCUUAGCACACACUGGCCAGUCUGGAGAAAGUCUGCCCCAAUGUGAUGAGAUUCUAUCAAAUGAUAGUUUCCACCGUGUGUUAUCUUUUACUUCUUUCAUCUUUUGGAGUAAAUUAUUUUUCUGGUUCUUCAAAAAGAAAGAACUGAGGCAACAGAGAGGGAAAAUGAGUUAAUCAGGUGACACUGAUGGGGAGCUGGGGUGAUAUGGCCUUGGAGCUGCACAGACCUUAGCUGGAGUCUGGGCCCUGCUGCUGUCUCACUGUGUGACACUGGUGUGCAGAAGAGGGCGACACAGCAGGCUGGCUGCUCUCCUGGGAAAAGCCUGCUGGCAAGGCUGGAUUUCAGGGGGGUACCCCGUGUCUCCAGAACUGAAGAGACACGCUCCCUGGACCUAAACUGUGCAAACACGGUGGCUUACACCUGCUUUCCUUCUGGGGGGCUGGAAUUUUGGAAUGUGCCAGGCAGAGGAGCCCACAUGACCAGCCCCCAGUAAAAACCCUGGCACUGAGUCUCUGAUGAGCUUCCCUGGUGGACAGCAUUUCACACGCGAUAUCACAUUCUACAGUAUUGCUGGGGGAAUUAAGCAUGUCCCAUGUGACUCCCCUGAGAGAAUUCUGGAAGCUUGUGCCUGGCUUCCUUGGACUUUGCCCCAUGUACCUCCUCCCUUUGCUGACUGUGCUCUGAAUCUUUUCACUGUAGUAAGUCAUAGCCAUGAGUCUGACUACAGGAUGAGUCCUGGGAAUCCUAGCCAAUCACUGAAUCUGUGGGUGCUCCUGGGGACACUGACACAGCUGGGAAGGUGACUGCCACUCUUUUAACCUCAGUUUCAGACCAAUCGGCAAAAGAGGGACAACCCAGCUUCUUCAUGGGGUGACUGGAGGAUUGAACAAGCAAGUCCUAAGAGCUGCUACUCAAUCAUUCAUUAGUUUAGAGCUGUCUGCUGGGCCCUAGAGCAGGUACUGUUCGUUCCAAACACUGGGGACACGCCCUGUCCUCACACAGCUCCCGCUCUGAAUGAUACAAUGGUAGUUAGAACGUGAGGGAGCGACAGACAAGAUGAGUAGGAGAGGAGGUAUGGAGUUCUAACAGGGUCCCAGGUUAAACUUUAAAAAUGUAAGCCCUGAGAGCCGCUUAGGCAGAGGGGAGGGCAACUGGAAGACUUUGAAGUAUCAGCUUGAAGAAUGACUGACUACAAGUAGGAAAGUGGUGAAGACAAGGCUGGGGAGGCAGAUAGGGGCCAGAGCAGGGUUUCCCAGGCUUAGCACUACUGACACUGGCGUGGGCCAAUCCUUGGUUGUGGGGCUGUGCUGUGCACUGUAGGAUGUGUGGCAGCCUCCCUUGGUUCCACCAGCUAGAUGCUAGCGGCACGCUGCGCUGGCCCAAGGAGUAACAAUCAAAAAUGUCUCCACACAUUGCCAAUGUCUCCUCGGCCAGCUGAGAACUGCUGGGCUAGGUCAUGCUGAUUCUGAGGAGCCCAGGAGCCAGGACUUCACCCUGUGGGUGGUAGAGAGCAUGGGUGAUCACCAAGCAGGGCAGUGAGUAGGCCCCUGGGGACAGGCAACACUCACCCAGCAGGAAGAGGUCCUGGCAAUUGUCCAACGCUGUGUCCCAGAACGUGUCCCCCUGUUCCAGCCCGAGCUGCUCCCAGUCUCCCAAGGUGAAGUCCAUGCCGACAUCCUUGAGGGUCACAAAUUCCUGAAACACAGUACACUAUUGGUCACUCAGAGGCUGGGGUCAGGGAGGAGCCCAACAGCUCACUCAGGGCACUCCCAGCCCUCAAUCUGCCAGGGCUUUGGCAAAAACCAUCCCAUCCUCAGCCUCACAAGAAUCUUGAGAUGUAAGAGACUGGAAACCCCUGUAUUUUGUAGGCAAAGAAAAGGACCUUGACUUUGACCAGGGGACAGGAUGUCAACCGAAGUUAACACAGGUGGGACUGAACCCAGGUCUGCCUGAUCCUAAAAAUCUAUUUUACGCUUUUGCUUUAAGUGUUCAUUCAAGACUUAUUUUGUAAACUUUCAAACAUACAUACAAGUAGAGAUGUAUAUAAUUAACACCCAUGAACUCAUCACCCAGGGGUCAUCUGAUUUCACCUGUGAAUACUUCAGUAUGAACAGUAACUCCUUAAUCACUGAACACCUAGACCACAUUCAAAAUCUGUAUACAGAUUAGUCUGACAUCUCAGUGGUGUGUCUUUAUAGCUAGCUCGUCUCAAUCAGAAUCCAGGGGGCCCAUACCCUGUAACUGAUGUG